GUUUUUGUUUUGGCAGCACAUGUACGAAAAUUGGAAUGACACAGAGAUUAGCAUGGCCCUGGUGCAAGGAUGACAUGGAAAUUCAUGAAGCAUUCCCUGUUGUU
This 104-nucleotide small nuclear RNA is filed under the name Pongo abelii (Sumatran orangutan). The record is from RNAcentral. Lineage: Eukaryota; Metazoa; Chordata; Mammalia; Primates; Hominidae.